RNAcentral lists this ribosomal RNA (496 nucleotides) under uncultured bacterium. Its description in RNAcentral is "partial 16S ribosomal RNA". It matches the Rfam family "Bacterial small subunit ribosomal RNA", at positions 28 to 506 of the family's 1533-position model. The record is from RNAcentral.
GAUGGACGCUGGCGGCGUGCCUAAUACAUGCAAGUCGAGCGAACAGACGAGGAGCUUGCUCCUCUGACGUUAGCGGCGGACGGGUGAGUAACACGUGGAUAACCUACCUAUAAGACUGGGAUAACUUCGGGAAACCGGAGCUAAUACCGGAUAAUAUAUUGAACCGCAUGGUUCAAUAGUGAAAGACGGUUUUGCUGUCACUUAUAGAUGGAUCCGCGCCGCAUUAGCUAGUUGGUAAGGUAACGGCUUACCAAGGCAACGAUGCGUAGCCGACCUGAGAGGGUGAUCGGCCACACUGGAACUGAGACACGGUCCAGACUCCUACGGGAGGCAGAAGUAGGGAAUCUUCCGCAAUGGGCGAAAGCCUGACGGAGCAACGCAGCGUGAGUGAUGAAGGUCUUCGGAUCGUAAAACUCUGUUAUUAGGGAAGAACAAAUGUGUAAGUAACGAUGCACGUCUUGACGGUACCGAAUCAGAAAGCCACGGCUAACUACGU